UAUAAUAGGGUAUGUAAGUCUCGUCAUGUGACUUGCGAGAUUUCACGAUAUUUUGCACUUCCGGGUACAAACAAAUAUCAACAACAUUGCUUAUCUAUAUUGGGUAAUACUUGUAUGCCGGUGGGAAAGUAAAACUUACAUGGAAAAGCAAAUGAUAUGUGGAAAUUGGUUUUUUGUUUUGUAACGAAAUGCAAAUGGUUUCAUCUUGUGAACAAGUAUCAAUGAAAGACAACUUCGUAUAAUCUUCAGAUAUUUUGACUGAGGACAGUGGUGAGACGAAAGACGUCAGUAUCCAUUGUAAAUACACAUGCAUGCUCUACUGUAAAAUCGUUUUGGUAUGUGAUUUCAUGGUUGGAUCUUGAGUACUUGUCAUGGCUCUUGAUUUAUUUUGGAGUGUUCACCAUCAGAUUAGAAAUCAAAUAGUGAUACCACCAGGCAUAGUUGAAAGGAAAUGUCCAUACACAGUCUUGGAGU
Molecule: long non-coding RNA, 474 nt
Organism: Ruditapes philippinarum (Manila clam)
Lineage: Eukaryota; Metazoa; Mollusca; Bivalvia; Venerida; Veneridae
Exons: 3
Source: RefSeq, a predicted model, not a curated record